Molecule: ribosomal RNA, 449 nt
Filed under: uncultured bacterium
Lineage: Bacteria
Description: partial 16S ribosomal RNA
Rfam family: Bacterial small subunit ribosomal RNA
Source: RNAcentral
CUCCAGACUCCUACGGGAGGCAGCAGUGGGGAAUAUUGCACAAUGGGGGAAACCCUGAUGCAGCGACGCCGCGUGAGCGAAGAAGUAUUUCGGUAUGUAAAGCUCUCUCAGCAGGGAAGAAAUUGACGGUACCUGACUAAGAAGCCCCGGCUAACUACGUGCCAGCAGCCGCGGUAAUACGUAGGGGGCAAGCGUUAUCCGGAUUUACUGGGUGUAAAGGGGGCGCAGACGGCAGCGCAAGCCAGGAGUGAAAGCCCGGGGCCCAACCCCGGGACUGCUCUUGGAACUGCGCGGCUGGAGUGCAGGAGGGGCAGGCGGAAUUCCUGGUGUAGCGGUGAAAUGCGUAGAUAUCAGGAGGAACACCGGUGGCGAAGGCGGCCUGCUGGACUGCGACUGACGUUGAGGCCCGAAAGCGUGGGGAGCAAACAGGAUUAGAUACCCCAGUAUGG